GCCGCUAUGGUGAAAAUGGUAGACACGUUGCUCUUAGGAAGCAAUGCAAAUGCAUCUCGGUUCGAAUCCGAGUAGCGG
This 78-nucleotide transfer RNA is filed under the name Radula japonica. RNAcentral's name for it is "tRNA-Leu". It matches the Rfam family "tRNA". From Rfam's summary of the family: Transfer RNA (tRNA) molecules are approximately 80 nucleotides in length. Their secondary structure includes four short double-helical elements and three loops (D, anti-codon, and T loops). The record is from RNAcentral. Lineage: Eukaryota; Viridiplantae; Streptophyta; Jungermanniopsida; Radulales; Radulaceae.